This 277-nucleotide ribosomal RNA is filed under the name uncultured bacterium. Its description in RNAcentral is "partial 16S ribosomal RNA". It matches the Rfam family "Bacterial small subunit ribosomal RNA", at positions 29 to 289 of the family's 1533-position model. The record is from RNAcentral.
AGCGAACGCUGGCGGCGUGCCUAACACAUGCAAGUCGAGCGAGAAAGGGAACUUCGGUUCCUGAGUACAGCGGCGAACGGGUGCGUAACACGUGGGUGAUCUGUCCUUGAGACGGGGAUAACCCAGCGAAAGUUGGGCUAAUACCGGAUAAGACCACAGGAGGAAACUCCAGGGGUCAAAGGGUGCUUUCUUCGGAGAGCAUUCUCUUGAGGAGGAGCCCGCGGCCUAUCAGCUUGUUGGUAGGGUAACGGCCUACCAAGGCAAAGACGGGUAGCUG